GCUAGUGUGGUAUAGUGAUUUGAGCAUUGGAUUAUGAUUCCAGAGACCAGGGUUCAAAUCUCCACUCAGGCA
Molecule: transfer RNA, 72 nt
Filed under: Phrynosoma platyrhinos (Desert horned lizard)
Lineage: Eukaryota; Metazoa; Chordata; Lepidosauria; Squamata; Phrynosomatidae
Description: tRNA-OTHER
Source: RNAcentral